This 381-nucleotide ribosomal RNA is filed under the name uncultured bacterium. Its description in RNAcentral is "bacterial SSU rRNA". It matches the Rfam family "Bacterial small subunit ribosomal RNA", at positions 28 to 402 of the family's 1533-position model. The record is from RNAcentral.
GACGAACGCUGGCGGCGUGCUUAAUACAUGCAAGUCGAGCGAGGCCCAUCCAGUGGCAACACUGGGGAAGGCCGAGCGGCGAACGGGUGAGUAACACGUGAGCAACCUGCCCCGAAGUCUGGAAUAGCAUCGGGAAACCGGUGCUAAUACCGGAUUGCCCCACCUGACCGCAUGAUCGGGUGAGGAAAGAUUUAUCGCUUCGGGAGGGGCUCGCGGCCUAUCAGCUAGUGGCGGGGUAACGGCCCACCAAGGCGUCGACGGGUAGCUGGUCUGAGAGGACGACCAGCCACACUGGGACUGAGACACGGCCCAGACUCCUACGGGAGGCAGCAGUAGGGAAUCUUGCGCAAUGGGCGAAAGCCUGACGCAGCAACGCCGCGU